RNAcentral lists this ribosomal RNA (768 nucleotides) under uncultured Chloroflexota bacterium. RNAcentral's name for it is "bacterial SSU rRNA". It matches the Rfam family "Bacterial small subunit ribosomal RNA", at positions 56 to 843 of the family's 1533-position model. The record is from RNAcentral. Lineage: Bacteria; Bacillati; Chloroflexota.
UGCAGUCGACGGUGAAGUCCCUUCGGGGGUGGAAUAGUGGCGAACGGCUGAGUAACGCGUAAGUAACCUACCCCCGAGUGGGGAAUAACUCCGGGAAACCGGAGCUAAUACCGCAUAAUCCGUUGUGUCGCAUGGCAUAACGGCAAAGGUUUCGGCCGCUUGGGGAUGGGCUUGCGUUCUAUCAGGUAGUUGGUGAGGUAAGAGCUCACCAAGCCAAUGACGGAUAGCUGGUCUGAGAGGACGACCAGCCAGAGGGGGACUGCGACACGGCCCCCACUCCUACGGGAGGCAGCAGCAGGGAAUCUUGCGCAAUGGGCGAAAGCCUGACGCAGCGACGCCGCGUGCGGGAAGAAGGCCUUCGGGUUGUAAACCGCUUUUCUGAGGGAAGAGAAAGGACGAUACCUCAGGAAUAAGCCUCGGCUAACUACGUGCCAGCAGCCGCGGUGAUACGUAAGAGGCAAGCGUUGUCCGGAUUUACUGGGCGUAAAGGGCGUGUAGGCGGUACAGAAAGUCUUUGCUUAAAGAUCCCGGCUCAACUGGGAGAGUGGCAGUGAUACUUCUGAACUAGAGGGCAGUAGAGGAGAGCGGAAUUCCCGGUGUAGUGGUGGAAUGCGUAGAUAUCGGGAGGAACACCAGUGGCGAAAGCGGCUCUCUGGGCUGUACCUGACGCUGAGGCGCGAAAGCGUGGGUAGCAAACCGGAUUAGAUACCCGGGUAGUCCACGCCAUAAACGAUGGAUGCUGGGUAUAGAGGGUAUCGACCCCUUCUG